GGGCGCCGAGCAGCCACCACAGAAACAGGAGGAGAGGAGAAGAGAAGAGAGGAGAGGAGAGGAGAGGAGAGGAGAGGUGGAAGAGAGGAGAGGAGGAAGAGAGCAGGAAGGAGUGCGCUCACCUUGGGAGGAGCAAGUCAAGAUGAGGAGUAAACUGAUGUAGAAGUGGCUCCACACACAGACGCACACACACACACACACACAAACACGCUGUCUCUAUACAGCAUGGAGGAGAUGUGCAAGCUGGAUUAGUGAUGGAUGCAGUCUGUACUGUGAGACCGGAGGAGGAAGUAAGUUUGUUCAGAUGGACGUGGAGACUAACAGAGGGCAAUAGGAGUGGGAGCCGGAGUGAGGAUUCUCAGACAGAGGCGCUGAAUGGGCUGCAGUGGCAGGGACUGGAUGUUUGGUCAGGCUGGAGGGGAAGCUGAAGAGAGCACUCAGAGGACCUCAGACUGGGCCGAAGGUUUACCUUCCAACAGGACAAUGACCCUAAGCACACUGCCCAGACCAUGCCGGAGUGGCUCAGGGACAACUCUGUGAACAUCCUUGCCCUGACUUGAACCCACUCAAACAUCUCUGGAGAGACCUGAAGAUGGCUGUCCACCGACAGUCCCCAACUGACGGAGCUUCAGAGGUUCUGCAGAGAAAAAUGGCAGAAUCCCCAAAUCCAGUAUCACCAUCAAAGCCUAAGUCAAUGAGGAGCGUUGGAGGGAGUCUGGAUGCUGGCCCAAGGAGUGAGAGCAUCUGUGCUGGACACAACCCCAAUACACUGGACCUGCUCAACCAUUACACAGAUUUGAGACCUUGCUGUUAAGAUGAAAGAUGUGUGUUCAUAUGCAUGUACAACAUGAUGUUUGGAGGGCUUGCUGUUCUUACUGAAUAUGUGCUGGCAAUACGUCUGGAGCACUGGGCACACGCUUAGUGUUACCGGUACAAGGACAGAGGACUGUGCUGUUUCAUGUUGUGGUUGUCGUCCUGGGUAUUAAAGUCUCAGCUAAUUCUGUCAUUUUGUCUGCGCUGUAUCCAAAGCAGUCAAUUUGCUAAGUGUAUGUAGGCCCGAGCAACAGCCCCAGUUCAGAAGUCACUCCUGGGCCCCAGGCCUCACAUGCAGUAACACCGCCCCCUCUGGACUGGAGCAUGGGACAGGUACAGACUUAUAACUAACUCUUAGACAUUACCAUACCUAUGGCCAAUCAACAAAACUGAUGACUUUUGAGGGCUGUCUUCAAAAAAUAUCCGUGAAAGGUACCUAAGUAAAGAUAAGCAGGUCUUUUAAAUGUUUGGAUAUUUUCUUAGAUGUUGAUGGACCAGUCCAAUUAUGUGUAAAUACAGGCUUUUUGCAGCUCUUUGAUUGCUAGCCAUACUCUUUUCUGCUAUGACAUAAUUUGCUUUGUUGUUUUCUUCAAUAGCGCUCCAAUGACAUCAUUGUGUUGAAACUGAACAAAAGGCAUUGGGAAAAAAAGAAUAUGAGAGGUUCAGGAACGACCAUUACAUGAAUUGGAAAUAUUAUCCAGAGCAGGGAAAAGCUAUGAAUGUCUUUCUCCUAAUAAGUGUUUGCAUUUGAUCUGUAAUGUGGUGAUUAACUGUGUUGACUCUAUAGAACCUGCUGUUGUUCCUGUUUAAAUGGACCGAUAGGCUGCCAAGAUAAUCUGUAAACAUUUUUGUUGAGUGGUGGCACUCUCCUCUAAUUAGUGUGCUGGAUGCAAGAUUAGGCCUUGUAAUUAAUUGAUUAGACGUCUUGGGGCAUGGGUAUAUCAGUUCAAUCUAGACACACUGGUAUACCGGUCGAGCACAUCCCAUCCGAAUAGAAAAUCCAAGAUCUUGACAACAAACUGGAAAGUAAGGACUGUGGUGCACCAGGUUUCACCCUAUCACUUUUUCAACUCUUUUCUUUCUUUCUGUCUGAAGUCAGGUGUUUGGUGUGGCAUAUGUCAGCGUCUUACCUGUCUAGGCAUCCCGGCGUCCCUGCUGUCCUGGGAGUCAGCCAAGCGAUGUCAAUUAGCCGUAAGCCAAUGCCAUGACGCGCUCGGGCUGUACCAGGGCUACUGUAUCAUGUUCUGGCUCCCGCAGAGCGGGGCGCAUCUGCGCGGCACCAGGACGAGCGACACCGUUUACAUGGCUUCAACAGGCUCAUGUUCGGGCGUCUUUCUGAUGCGCCAUGAUAAACCCACACACUACAUACAAGCCAGAAAGGCGAGCCAGAACCCCCAGCUCCAGUUGCUCUCCCGCUAACAUCCCCUCCACACGGUUCCCCUGAUAUCACUCUCUCGUUUUGUCUCCACCACUCUCACAACAAACUCUCUCUUUCGGCCAUUUAUACAAUGUUUUUUCUCUGUAGAUGUCUUUGUUACAUUUUUUUCUCAUAUUCUGAAGAUUUGCCAUUGAUCGUUAUGUAGUGAGAUAAUUGUGGCAACUUUUGAUCUUCUUUGAUUAUAAAACUUGUACUUUGAGAACAAAAAAUGGGAUCUUAAAUAUAUUCUCUAUAGAUGUUUCAGUAGAAUUUAUUCCAUGUUUUUCCAUGUGAAAACAAAUAAUAGUUUUACAUAUGUUUUUUUGUUUUUCAAAUGAAGCAGUUUCAUAAAGCAUUUUCAUAAGGCACAUUUAAUUUGGUUUUUAGGUUCAAGUUUUGGAACUGCAAUAAAUCUUUCCUAUCCUCUCUUUGGGAAACACCAUUCGUCUCUAUGGAGCAUCCGAGAUCCCUCUAUUAGUAAUCUGAUCUGCUCUACCAGUUUGGUGUGCAAAGGUGAGACAAUGUAGAGACAGAAGGCAAUGAAUAUGUCUUCAUCUGUAGACAUCUAAAAUGGGAAUCCAGCUGUUUGUUUGUUUAAAUUGUUGUACGCUGUCACACUGGUGCAUGUUUGUGUAUGUGUACAUUCUGUUGGAGUGACAUUGUGGGUCAGUCAGAACUCAGAAGGUUGUACCUUAAACACAAGCUGCCCUUGACCUCAUCGAGUGUUCAAUGGAGGCUUACCUCCAGGACAAUCAAAAGGUUGUGGGUGUGUGCCGUAUCCAUGCCGCGGGAGCACAAGAAAGAAAAUCUCUUAAUUCUGAGGUAUUGUUCCCUUAAUCCCCCUGUCCAUCACACAUCAGUAAGUGUUUCUUUUCUGGCCGUCCAUCAGGGAGUAAGGAGGCAACUUUCAUCUGGGAUC
Molecule: long non-coding RNA, 3149 nt
Organism: Clupea harengus (Atlantic herring)
Lineage: Eukaryota; Metazoa; Chordata; Actinopteri; Clupeiformes; Clupeidae
Source: Ensembl